RNAcentral lists this ribosomal RNA (253 nucleotides) under uncultured bacterium. RNAcentral's name for it is "partial 16S ribosomal RNA". It matches the Rfam family "Bacterial small subunit ribosomal RNA", at positions 524 to 776 of the family's 1533-position model. The record is from RNAcentral.
GACGAACCGUGCAAACGUUGUUCGGAAUCACUGGGCUUAAAGGGCGCGUAGGCGGGUGAGCAAGUCCGGGGUGAAAUCUUUCGGCUUAACCGGAAAAGUGCCUUGGAUACUGCUCGUCUGGAGGAAGGUAGGGGCAGGUGGAACUUCUGGUGGAGCGGUGAAAUGCGUUGAUAUCAGAAGGAACGCCGGUGGCGAAAGCGACCUGCUGGACCUUUUCUGACGCUGAGGCGCGAAAGCUAGGGGAGCAAACGGG